RNAcentral lists this ribosomal RNA (253 nucleotides) under uncultured bacterium. RNAcentral describes it as "partial 16S ribosomal RNA". It matches the Rfam family "Bacterial small subunit ribosomal RNA", at positions 524 to 776 of the family's 1533-position model. The record is from RNAcentral.
GACAGAGGGUGCAAACGUUGUUCGGAAUUACCGGGCGUAAAGCGCGUGUAGGCGGCUCUGCAAGUCGGAUGUGAAAUCCCACGGCUCAACCAUGGAAGUGCAUUCGAAACUGCAGGGCUAGAGUCCUGGAGAGGAAGGUGGAAUGCUUGGUGUAGAGGUGAAAUUCGUAGAUAUCAAGCGGAACACCGGUGGCGAAGGCGGCCUUCUGGACAUUGACUGACGCUGAGACGCGAAAGCGUGGGGAGCAAACAGG